RNAcentral lists this ribosomal RNA (305 nucleotides) under uncultured bacterium. Its description in RNAcentral is "bacterial SSU rRNA". It matches the Rfam family "Bacterial small subunit ribosomal RNA", at positions 338 to 657 of the family's 1533-position model. The record is from RNAcentral.
CCUACGGGGGGCAGCAGUGGGGAAUAUUGGGCAAUGGGCGCAAGCCUGACCCAGCAACGCCGCGUGAAGGAAGAAGGCUUUCGGGUUGUAAACUUCUUUUCUCAGGGACGAAGCAAGUGACGGUACCUGAGGAAUAAGCCACGGCUAACUACGUGCCAGCAGCCGCGGUAAUACGUAGGUGGCAAGCGUUAUCCGGAUUUACUGGGUGUAAAGGGCGUGUAGGCGGGGACGCAAGUCAGAUGUGAAAACCACGGGCUCAACCGAUAGAGUGCAUUUGAAACUGCAGUUCUUGAGUGAUGGAGAGG